Octopus bimaculoides (California two-spot octopus) is the source of this 47-nucleotide non-coding RNA. Lineage: Eukaryota; Metazoa; Mollusca; Cephalopoda; Octopoda; Octopodidae. The record is from Rfam.
AUAACGGCCCUUUUUAGGGCCACCCACUCUAUAACGUUAAAUUUUCU